GUGAAUCAUCAAAUUUUUGAACGCAAAUUGCACUCUCCUCUGUGAGUAUGCCUGUUUCAGUGUCAGCCUCUAUAAAUCGACAUCGUUGCUGUUUCGCGGUGGCGUUUGUCGGAAAUUGGGUCAUCUUAAAUCCUUUUUUUUUAAUCGACUUAACAUUUUCUUUUGUUUCCAUGCUCGUUUCUAAGCUUUAUUUCUUUACACGUUUAUUGUAUCGAUUUUUCUUAGUCGUGCCCAUCAUAUCCGCUCGCGUCCAUAAUCUUUC
RNAcentral lists this unclassified non-coding RNA (262 nucleotides) under Glomus sp. RNAcentral's name for it is "partial internal transcribed spacer 2". The stretch from base 1 to 65 matches the Rfam family "5.8S ribosomal RNA", at positions 84 to 154 of the family's 154-position model. The record is from RNAcentral. Lineage: Eukaryota; Fungi; Glomeromycota; Glomeromycetes; Glomerales; Glomeraceae.